GAUGAAGAACGUAGCGAAAUGCGAUAAGUAAUGUGAAUUGCAGAAUUCAGUGAAUCAUCGAAUCUUUGAACGCACAUUGCGCCCGCCAGUAUUCUGGCGGGCAUGCCUGUUCGAGCGUCAUUACAACCCUCAGGCCCCCGGGCCUGGCGUUGGGGAUCGGCGGAAGCCCCCUGUGGGCACACGCCGUCCCUCAAAUACAGUGGCGGUCCCGCCGCAGCUUCCAUUGCGUAGUAGCUAACACCUCGCAACUGGAGAGCGGCGCGGCCAUGCCGUAAAACACCCAACUGCUGAAUGUUGACCUCGAAUCAGGUAGGAAUACCCGCUGAACUUAAGCAUAUCAAUAAGCGGAGGA
This 352-nucleotide unclassified non-coding RNA is filed under the name soil metagenome. RNAcentral describes it as "partial contains 5.8S ribosomal RNA, internal transcribed spacer 2, and large subunit ribosomal RNA". The stretch from base 1 to 120 matches the Rfam family "5.8S ribosomal RNA", at positions 35 to 154 of the family's 154-position model. The record is from RNAcentral.